CAGGAAACUGAGGCUCAGAGAAAUUAGGCACCUGGCCAGAGAGCGUGCCCGAUCCUGCGUCCUGACAUCUCCCCUGGAAGCCUGCCUGACAGACUCGUCAGCCCAGGUUAGGGAGGCAGUUCCUUCUCCAGCCCACCCAAAAUACACAGUAGCAGCAGUUACACACUGGGUGUCCCCUGAAGGCCAGCACACGUUUUUUCAUCUCUGUGUCCCCAGGACAUGACAUGAGUCACCAGGUCCAGUCGGCACCCAAGGGAAGGGAUCCCACGAGAGCACGGACACCUGGAGGCAGGACCAUUGGGAGUCAUCAUGGAGGCUGCUCACCUGAGACCUGGAUUCUAAACCCAUCACAUGGCCCGAGUUGAAAGCCUUGCACGCUCACAUGGUGUCUAUAUACAUUGAGUGAGUGGCUUAACCUCACGUGCCUAUAGUUUCUCAGCUAUAAAUGGGGAUAAUACCUUAUUUCAUCAAAUCUAAGAUGGCCUUGGUGGAAAGCCAGCAUCACUUUAUACAUCAUUAAGAAAAAUACCCUCUGUCCAUUUGUGGGAAGACACACUACCAUGUCAGAGGGGUUAAAAUGUGGGGAAAAUAAAUAUGUGCCUUGAAAUGAAUGAGACACUCAGAAUCUGUUUCCUAAGGUGGUUCUGAGACUUCCGUGGCUGGUGCCAUUUAAGGCUAUAGUGAGCCUUAGAUAUAUGGAAGGCUGCAAACUGGGGUGGGCUGUCCAGAUGU
Long non-coding RNA from Rhinolophus ferrumequinum (greater horseshoe bat), 732 nucleotides. RefSeq lists it as uncharacterized. The transcript is spliced from 3 exons. The record is from RefSeq and is a predicted model, not a curated record. Lineage: Eukaryota; Metazoa; Chordata; Mammalia; Chiroptera; Rhinolophidae.